AAGCCAAUGAUGAGUAGUAUAGGAUGAAAGUCUUAAAUACGGCAAUGGAAAUGAAAAAGUCCAAAGUAACAUUUGUUGCGCAGCAGUGAUGAAUCGUUGUCAAUUCGCAUAGUAGAAAUACCCGCGAGAACACGCCACCUAGAUUCCAAGAGCGAGUAAAAUUUAUCUUGGAUAAAGAAUCUUGAAUAAUGAUCCUGAUUCUAGCAGUAGAUCUAAAUUGCCGUGCCAGCAAGAGCGGUAAGACGGCUUCUACAAGCAAUAGUAACAAUGAAUUGGUGUAAAGGGUACGCAGCCGGCCUAAUGAUAGGCUUGAGUUGGAAAGAGGUAAGUACAAUACUUAGAGGAGGGCUGAUAUCUUAUUAUCCUAAGGGGAGUGCUAAAGGCGAAGGCCACUUACUAUUAACAACUGACGGUAAGGUACGAAGGUUGGGGGAUAGAUACAGAUUAGAUACCUGAGUAUUCCCAACAGUAAACGAUGUAGAUUAGGAAUUGGCAAAGGCCAGUUUCAUAGCAAACGCUUUAAAUCUACCACCUGUAGAGUAUAGUCGCAAGGCUGAAAUACAAAUAAUUAGACGGCCUGAGAGCAAACGGAGUGAAGCAUGUUAUUUAAUACGAUGAUCCGCGUAAAAUCUUACCAGUCCUUGAAUGUUGCACAGGUGUUGCAUGGUUGUCGUCAGUUCGUGCUGUUAAGCGUAUGGUUAACUCCGAUAAACGAACGCAAUCCUCACCAUGAAUUUACUUUCGUGGUUUAACUUCGACAAGAAGCUUGAGGACUAUGACAAACCCUCAUGGCCCUUAUGGACUGGGCUAUAGACGUGCCACAAGAUCCUUAUACAAAAUGAUGCUAUAGCUAAAGCAGUAGCCAAUCAUCAAAACAGGAUAAUGUACGAAUUGUAAGCUGGAACUCGCUUGCAUGAAGUAGGAAUUCCGAGUAAUCGUGUAUCAUUACGACAUGGUGAAUAUUAUCUCUUGGGUGUACUAACUGCUCGUCAUGGGCUGGGAGACAUGUGGAUGUGAAGAAGGACAAGGUAGUAAUACAAUGUUUUUCGAGUGUCUAUUGUUGACUGGUCUAAAGUCGAAACAAGGUAGCAGUAGGGGAACCUGUUGCUG
Molecule: ribosomal RNA, 1110 nt
Filed under: Naganishia albida
Lineage: Eukaryota; Fungi; Basidiomycota; Tremellomycetes; Filobasidiales; Filobasidiaceae
Description: bacterial SSU rRNA
Rfam family: Bacterial small subunit ribosomal RNA
Source: RNAcentral